Molecule: ribosomal RNA, 541 nt
Filed under: uncultured Bacteroidota bacterium
Lineage: Bacteria; Pseudomonadati; Bacteroidota
Description: bacterial SSU rRNA
Rfam family: Bacterial small subunit ribosomal RNA
Source: RNAcentral
AUCAUGAGUUCACAUGUCCGCAUGAUUAAAGGUAUUUUCCGGUAGACGAUGGGGAUGCGUUCCAUUAGAUAGUAGGCGGGGUAACGGCCCACCUAGUCAACGAUGGAUAGGGGUUCUGAGAGGAAGGUCCCCCACAUUGGAACUGAGACACGGUCCAAACUCCUACGGGAGGCAGCAGUGAGGAAUAUUGGUCAAUGGGCGAUGGCCUGAACCAGCCAAGUAGCGUGAAGGAUGACUGCCCUAUGGGUUGUAAACUUCUUUUAUAAAGGAAUAAAGUCGGGUAUGCAUGUCCGUUUGCAUGUACUUUAUGAAUAAGGAUCGGCUAACUCCGUGCCAGCAGCCGCGGUAAUACGGAGGAUCCGAGCGUUAUCCGGAUUUAUUGGGUUUAAAGGGAGCGUAGACGGAUGUUUAAGUCAGUUGUGAAAGUUUGCGGCUCAACCGUAAAAUUGCAGUUGAUACUGGAUGUCUUGAGUGCAGUUGAGGCAGGCGGAAUUCGUGGUGUAGCGGUGAAAUGCUUAGAUAUCACGAAGAACUCCGAUUG